Mus musculus (house mouse) is the source of this 2993-nucleotide RNA transcript. It is a transcript of the gene named proprotein convertase subtilisin/kexin type 4, with no coding region annotated. The transcript is spliced from 12 exons. The record is from RefSeq and is marked validated. NCBI's taxonomy places the organism in Eukaryota, Metazoa, Chordata, Mammalia, Rodentia, Muridae.
AAAAGUGGGCGGGGCCAAAUAAAGGUUGAAGGCACCUGUUACCUUGAACCUGCUCCUAAGGGCAGAUGGAGGGGUUGUCCUUGUAUAGGUGGAGAAAGUGAGGUUCCCGAAGGCUUAGGUCCCUAUGAAUGUGUCACUCCUAGUGGAAUAUUCCCACCCCUCCCAGGUGGGGAGGGGGUGGGGGAGGAAGGAAGCGCAAGGCCCCUUGGGAGUUGACAGCUUCGCGUUGCUAUGGUGUCCAGGCUGGGAGUGCUUCCUGAAGCCCCGCCCCCGCCCCGCCCCCCGCUAUGCGGCCCUCCCAGACAGAGCUGUGGCUGGGUCUGACUUUGACUUUGGCCCUCCUGGCUGUGAGGUGGGCCUCAGCCCAGGCCCCCAUCUAUGUCAGCAGCUGGGCAGUGCGGGUGACCAAAGGUUACCAGGAAGCUGAGCGCCUGGCCCGUAAAUUUGGCUUCGUCAACCUGGGACAGAUCUUCCCUGACGACCAGUAUUUCCAUCUGCGGCACCGGGGUGUGGCCCAGCAGUCCCUGACUCCACACUGGGGCCAUCGUCUACGACUGAAGAAAGAUCCCAAGGUGCGCUGGUUUGAGCAGCAGACUUUGAGGCGCCGGGUGAAACGCUCCCUGGUGGUGCCCACAGACCCCUGGUUUUCCAAGCAGUGGUACAUGAACAAGGAGAUACAACAAGAUCUCAACAUCCUAAAGGCUUGGAACCAGGGACUGACCGGCCGGGGAGUGGUGAUUUCCAUCUUGGACGAUGGCAUUGAGAAAGACCACCCGGACCUCUGGGCUAAUUAUGACCCUCUGGCCAGCUAUGACUUCAACGACUAUGACCCAGACCCCCAGCCUCGCUACACACCCAACGAUGAGAACCGACAUGGAACGCGCUGUGCUGGGGAGGUGUCUGCCACAGCUAACAACGGUUUCUGUGGUGCCGGUGUGGCCUUCAAUGCUAGAAUUGGAGGCGUGCGCAUGUUGGAUGGAGCCAUCACUGACAUCGUGGAGGCUCAGUCCCUCAGCCUGCAGCCGCAACACAUACACAUCUAUAGCGCCAGCUGGGGCCCGGAGGAUGAUGGUCGCACGGUGGACGGACCUGGCCUCCUCACACAGGAGGCCUUCAGGCGUGGUGUAACCAAGGGCCGCCAAGGGCUGGGUACACUGUUCAUCUGGGCCUCGGGAAACGGUGGCCUCCAUUACGACAACUGCAAUUGUGACGGCUACACCAACAGCAUCCACACACUGUCAGUGGGCAGCACCACGCGGCAGGGUCGAGUGCCCUGGUACAGCGAGGCCUGUGCCUCCACGUUUACCACCACCUUCAGCAGCGGUGUGGUCACCGACCCACAGAUCGUCACCACGGACCUGCACCACCAGUGCACCGACAAGCACACGGGCACCUCGGCAUCUGCCCCGCUGGCUGCUGGCAUGAUCGCCCUGGCCCUGGAGGCCAAUGAGCCACCAUUAUGGCUAUGGGCUGCUGGACGCGGGGUUGCUGGUGGACCUGGCUCGCGUGUGGCUGCCCACUAAGCCUCAGAAGAAAUGUGCCAUUCGGGUGGUGCACACCCCCACGUGAGAGAGCCCCCGCCCACUGGAGGGAGGCCCCGCCCCUUCCACUGGAGGGAGGCCCCGCGGUCCAGACUCCACGCCUACGCGGGCGAUUCUGUCCAGGUCUCCACCUUGCGCUUUGUUGUAGCUCCCCCUUCUCCACUACCUCCCCAUCCUAGUCCAAGGUAGGCAGAAUGCCCCGAAACCUCAGUUUACCCAUCCGAGGAAAGAGUGCCCUCAGGCCCUUAGACACUGCCCGCCCCCCCCCAAACCCGCCUCUGGGCUCUACCUGGCCCGCAGCAGACCCACAGGACCGCCCUCACCCCACCAGCCCCAUCCUGCCUCGGAUGCUGGUGCCGAAGAACGUGACCGCGUGCUCAGAUGGCUCGCGCCGCCGCCUCAUCCGCUCGCUCGAGCACGUGCAGGUCCAGCUUUCGCUCUCCUACAGCCGCCGCGGGGACCUGGAGAUCUUCCUCACCAGCCCCAUGGGCACGCGCUCCACGCUCGUGGCCAUCAGGUGUGAGACAUCUCAAAGGGUCCUGAGAGCCAGCGGUGCCCUCCCUAGCCUUCCCAGAUGGGACCCUAUCUGGGUGGGACUCAGAAGACUUGUGUGAGACGCCACGAGCCCUGUCUCUCCUGUGCCACCCACUGGCCACAGACCGUUGGAUAUCAGCGGCCAAGGCUACAACAACUGGAUCUUCAUGUCCACUCACUACUGGGAUGAGGACCCGCAGGGCCUGUGGACCCUGGGCCUGGAGAAUAAGGGCUACUAUUUUAACACAGGAACUCUGUACUACUACACCCUGCUGCUGUAUGGGACGGCCGAGGACAUGACAGCACGGCCCCAGGCCCCCCAGGUGACCAGCCGCGCGCGCGCAUGUGUGCAGAGGGACACAGAGGGGCUGUGCCAGGAAAGUCACAGUCCCCUCUCCAUCCUGGCAGGACUCUGCCUCAUCUCCAGCCAGCAGUGGUGGUGGCUCUACAGCCACCCACAGCAGCCAGUGACCGAAGGACAGGCCAGCUGUCACCCUCCUGUUACACCUGCUGCAGCAGCCUGAGCAGCGACUACACUGCCUGUCCCCUGUCCCUUGUGUUGGGAGAGCUCCAGAGCCCCUCCAAGGCUUGCCACCUCUGGUGGCCCCCCAGCUACCAGUCUUGGGCCAUGGUGCUGGCUCUGCUGGCCAGGGCCUUUGGGAGGCCCCUCGGCUUGAGGAAGGCCCACCUGCCCCAGGCUAGAUACCCCAGUGCCCAAAACCAUGCAUGCACAGAUCCCUGGAGGCUGGAGAGCCAGAGAUGCCUGGCUGUCAGGACAGAAGGCCGGUACCCCAAGGUCCUGCUCUCAGGCUGGAAGAGAAGCCUGCCCCAGAAGGCCAGGGCAGAGCAGCUGCAUGGGUCAGGUGACAGCCCACCGCUCAGCCUCAGCUGCUCCCAGUGGAAGAGAUGUGUCCUUAC